This is a long non-coding RNA of Lathyrus oleraceus (garden pea), 559 nucleotides long. RefSeq lists it as uncharacterized. The record is from RefSeq and is a predicted model, not a curated record. The transcript has 3 exons. NCBI's taxonomy places the organism in Eukaryota, Viridiplantae, Streptophyta, Magnoliopsida, Fabales, Fabaceae.
UAUGAAAUCUGUUAGAAAUUGCAAUGAAAUUUCUCUCAAAUUCCCCUGAAAUCCGAAAAUUAGUUAGAAGUUAAUAGUAUUCAUUUAGUGAGAUUGAGAUGAUUAUAUUAUUGCUAGUCAUGAGCUCUCAAUGUUAGUUACCAUGUGGAUUCAGUUAGUAGAACUUGGGGUGAAUGCUCAUGAAUGCAUAUCAUGGCAAUAAAUGGGGAUGUUUGGACUAUGGUGGAACGUCACAGUUUUGAUGUUGCUGCCUUGUGCGGACGGUUGUAGCUAGAAAUGCAAGCAGAAUGCUCCUGCUGCUAUGGUUAUAAUUAAAUCGAGAGUGCUUGUGAAGCUCAUGGCUUGGAAUGUCUUGAGAGUUCGGAAUAUGUAUGUCGACUUGUAUUGGCUAUUGGCUUGGCCUCUCUUUUAGUUUAUGCAUUAAACAUUGUAAAUUGUAAUAUAGUUUGAAGAUAUUUGGAUUGGAAAUAUGAUUAGAAGUGGAUUAUAGUUUGAAUGCAAAAGUAUAACAAAGGUGUAAUUUGAAUCGAAUUUGAAAUGUGAGUUAAAGUUGAAAUUA